UCCCUGGUAGCUCAGAGGGUAAAAGCAUCUGCCUACAAUGCGGGAGACCUGGGUUCGAUCCCUGGGCUGGGAA
RNAcentral lists this transfer RNA (73 nucleotides) under Bos taurus (domestic cattle). It matches the Rfam family "tRNA". From Rfam's summary of the family: Transfer RNA (tRNA) molecules are approximately 80 nucleotides in length. Their secondary structure includes four short double-helical elements and three loops (D, anti-codon, and T loops). Further hydrogen bonds mediate the characteristic L-shaped molecular structure. tRNAs have two regions of fundamental functional importance: the anti-codon, which is responsible for specific mRNA codon recognition, and the 3' end, to which the tRNAs corresponding amino acid is attached (by aminoacyl-tRNA synthetases). tRNAs cope with the degeneracy of the genetic code in two manners: having more than one tRNA (with a specific anti-codon) for a particular amino acid; and 'wobble' base-pairing, i.e. permitting non-standard base-pairing at the 3rd anti-codon position. The record is from Rfam by way of RNAcentral. Lineage: Eukaryota; Metazoa; Chordata; Mammalia; Artiodactyla; Bovidae. RNAcentral also lists the same sequence under 4 other names.